GCUUUCGUGGCUCAGUUGGCUAGAGCGUUGGUCUCAUAAUCCAAAGGUCGCAAGUUCGAGCCUUGCCGAGAGCA
RNAcentral lists this transfer RNA (74 nucleotides) under Pseudogymnoascus destructans 20631-21. RNAcentral's name for it is "tRNA-Met (CAT) (tRNA-Met-CAT-2-1)". It matches the Rfam family "tRNA". Rfam says of the family: Transfer RNA (tRNA) molecules are approximately 80 nucleotides in length. The record is from RNAcentral. Lineage: Eukaryota; Fungi; Ascomycota; Leotiomycetes; Thelebolales; Thelebolaceae.